Molecule: transfer RNA, 72 nt
Filed under: Nilssonia nigricans
Lineage: Eukaryota; Metazoa; Chordata; Testudines; Trionychidae
Description: tRNA-Leu
Rfam family: tRNA
About the family: Transfer RNA (tRNA) molecules are approximately 80 nucleotides in length.
Source: RNAcentral
AUUUUCAAAGGAUAACAGUAAUCCAAUGGUUUUAGGAACCAUUACUUCUUGGUGCAACUCCAAGUGAAAAUA